RNAcentral lists this ribosomal RNA (496 nucleotides) under uncultured bacterium. Its description in RNAcentral is "partial 16S ribosomal RNA". It matches the Rfam family "Bacterial small subunit ribosomal RNA", at positions 28 to 507 of the family's 1533-position model. The record is from RNAcentral.
GAUGAACGCUGGCGGCGUGCCUAAUACAUGCAAGUCGAGCGAACAGACGAGGAGCUUGCUCCUUCGACGUUAGCGGCGGACGGGUGAGUAACACGUAGGUAACCUACCUAUAAGACUGGGAUAACUUCGGGAAACCGGAGCUAAUACCGGAUAAUAUUUCGAACCGCAUGGUUCGAUAGUGAAAGAUGGCUUUGCUAUCACUUAUAGAUGGACCUGCGCCGUAUUAGCUAGUUGGUAAGGUAACGGCUUACCAAGGCAACGAUACGUAGCCGACCUGAGAGGGUGAUCGGCCACACUGGAACUGAGACACGGUCCAGACUCCUACGGGAGGCAGCAGUAGGGAAUCUUCCGCAAUGGGCGAAAGCCUGACGGAGCAACGCCGCGUGAGUGAUGAAGGUCUUCGGAUCGUAAAACUCUGUUAUUAGGGAGAACAAACGUGUAAGUAACUGUGCACGUCUUGACGGUACCUAAUCAGAAAGCCACGGCUAACUACGUG